ACUACGGGAGGCAGCAGUGGGGAAUAUUGGGCAAUGGGCGCAAGCCUGACCCAGCAACGCCGCGUGAAGGAAGAAGGCUUUCGGGUUGUAAACUUCUUUUCUCAGGGACGAAGCAAGUGACGGUACCUGAGGAAUAAGCCACGGCUAACUACGUGCCAGCAGCCGCGGUAAUACGUAGGUGGCAAGCGUUAGCCGGAUUUACUGGGGGUAAAGGGUGUGUAGGCGGGAAAGCAAGUCAGAUGUGAAAACCAUGGGCUCAACCUGUGGCCUGCAUCUGAAACUGUUUUUCUUGAGUACUGUAGAGGCAGACGGAAUUCCUAGUGUAGCGGUGAAAUGCGUAGAUAUUAGGAGGAACACCAGUGGCGAAGGCGGUCUGCUGGACAGCAACUGACGCUGAGGCGCGAAAGCGUGGGGAGCAAACAGGAUUAGAUACCCCUGUAGUC
RNAcentral lists this ribosomal RNA (443 nucleotides) under uncultured bacterium. Its description in RNAcentral is "partial 16S ribosomal RNA". It matches the Rfam family "Bacterial small subunit ribosomal RNA", at positions 338 to 795 of the family's 1533-position model. The record is from RNAcentral.